Molecule: unclassified non-coding RNA, 272 nt
Filed under: uncultured Agaricales
Lineage: Eukaryota; Fungi; Basidiomycota; Agaricomycetes; Agaricales
Description: sequence contains 5.8S rRNA gene, ITS2, 28S rRNA gene
Source: RNAcentral
AACGCAUCUUGCGCUCCUUGGUAUUCUGAGGAGCAUGCCUGUUUGAGAGUCAUUAAACUAUCAAAACACUUUAAUUAAUUAAGUGUUUUGGACUGUGGGAGUACUUUGCUGGCCCUUUUUGAGUUCAGCUCUCCUCAAAAGCAAAUUUAGCUCAGAAGGUGUGGACCAUUAGUGUGAUAACUUGUUUACACUGUGCUUUCCCCCUUUUGUUGAAUACUAUUUAUUAAUGUCCCUUUGACCUCAAAUCAGGUAGGACUACCCGCUGAACUUAA